This is a long non-coding RNA of Balaenoptera ricei (Rice's whale), 1617 nucleotides long. RefSeq lists it as uncharacterized. The record is from RefSeq and is a predicted model, not a curated record. Lineage: Eukaryota; Metazoa; Chordata; Mammalia; Artiodactyla; Balaenopteridae. The transcript is spliced from 3 exons.
UCUCUUUAACCUCUCCUCCCUCAAUUUUCCACCGGGGAUUCUGGUCGGUUUCUCCUCUUCCAGCCCCUCCAUGAAAUCCUCUCCCUCCUUUCCUCUCCUCCAUCACCCCAAGCGGAACUCACCACUUUCUCGCUCCUCGGGGGUAAGGCCGAAGAAACCCACCAGCCCGCUGCCCCCUGCCCACGUGGCAAACCGGGUGCCCUCAUCCCCUCCCUCCUUCUACCGAGGAAAAUCCCACGUGCUCUCCCGGUGCCCAAUCGCGGGAAUCCACCUCCUCGUCCCCUCUUCGUUUCUCCCCAUCCUCUUCUCACCUCCCCAUUCUUCCCACCGGUCCCGAUUUCUCCAGGCUGGGGUGAGGGGGCGGGAAUCCUGCACCAAGGUGCCAGGUCCCAGUUCUCACCUGUCCCUGUGAAAAUGGGGCUCCAAUGACAGCCACGGAGUGGACGGACUUCUUCGGGACUGAGCGCGCUUGCUUACGGAGAAGAAGCGAGAGGCUGCUCCUCAGGGACAUGAUGGGCAGCGCAGGACGUAGACUAGCGAGAGGCUGCUACGUGCGGCUCGCCGCCUGGGGUGAGCACCGCAGCCUGCAGUGGUUACCUACCGGCGCGCGAGCCGCACCCCACCGCGCCGACCCAUGACGUCACCGCCGCCUCGCCCCGCCCAGGCCCCGCCGCCUCGCCCCCAACCAGCCCCCGGCACACCUUCCGGCAAGCCCCGCCCACUGCCGCUCAGUGCCCCGAACGCCCUCGCUGAUGUCACUCGGCUCUGGCCCAGGCUCUCCGGCCAAGGACAAGCCCCUGCCGCUGACGCCACAGGGCCAAGAUCCGGGCCCGGCCAAUAAGAGUGCGGUCACGGACAGGUGUGUCCCUUGGCGGGAAGCGGUCGGCUCCCGCAAAAUUCGCGAACUCAGCGGAACAAGCGAACGGACACGUAGGCUCGCGGAUGGUGGCUGUCUUCACACAGAGGCACGCCGGGCAGAUGCCUAUUUUACGGAACGGCUGGCUGGGCUGGACUUGGCCCAACCCCACGUUAUUACAAGAUAUUGAAUACAGUUCCCUGUGCUAUCCAGGAGGACCUUGUUUAUCAGCUCCUAAAAUCCUUGUAAUUUCUUAAGUGAUAAGAGCACGAAGAGCAUCUUUUGUUCUAAUAUUUGGUCUUUGACUUGGUUCCUGACACAAAGUUCCUAAACUCUUUGGGAUUUCCUGGUUGACAGCAGUGUCUUCUGUUCUAAUGAGGUGACUCUUGGUGGGAUCCUGGAUGGUGGCUGAUCACCAGAAAGACCAAGACAUGAUUAGAAGCCUGGGAUUUUCACCUCCUACCCCCACCAUCCCAUUCUCCAGAGAGGGAAGAGUGGCUGGAAAUGGACAUAAUGAUUGAUCAUGCCUACAUGAUGAAGCCUCUAUAAAAAUUCCAAAAGUACGGCGCUGGGAGAGUGUCCGGAUUGGUGAAUCCUCCCCAUACCGGGAGGUUGAUGCAUGCCUACUCUACGGGGACAGAAACUCCUGCACUCAGGACCCUCCCAGACCUUGCCCUCUACAUCUCUUCAUCUGGCUAUUCAUCUAUAUCAUUUAUCAUAUCCUUUAUUAGAUAAUAAACUGGUAAACAUGUUUCCCUGAA